CACCAAGAAGUGACUGCGGGGUAUGGACUAUGUCGCCUACAACGUCCAGUCUGUGGGCCUACCCAGGUCACCCUAUCAUACUUCCUAAAUUCUAAGAUCACCCCCCAAAAGCUGAAAUGAGGGUAUAUUUUAUACUAGUUGGUCAUCGUUUGAUGGGCAGCAGUUUUUCUCAGUGACACCUAAAAUAACAGCUUCCGAAGUCAUAGGAAAUACUGUACUGAAGACUGUCCCCUCCUCCUAACCCCCAGGCCCAGCUUCCCUAGGAAUUCAACACUCGUGGCUUACAUUUGGCUUAUAUUUUAAAUUCACAACUCAGACUUUGGGCUGACGUGGUGUAGCUCAGUGGUAGCACUCGUUGCUUAAGUUCUGGGUUCUAAUGCCAGCACUAAGAGUCAAGCCAAACCAAACCACAGGGUCCUUCACAUCUAUCCUCUCAAGAAAGCUCUAAACACUCAACUGGGAGUUUAGAAAGAACAUCUAAUUUAUUCUCCCCUAGGAGGGCUUGAACCCAGCCCACACUACCAGCAACUAUGCAGUUUCUCACACUAGGGGAAAUGGCAGAGGCAGGCACAUAAGAAAGGCAAAAGCACAAGCUCAAGGCCCUGGGUUUGGUCCCCAGCUCCGAAAAAAAGAAAAAAAAAAAAAACAAGAAAAAACAAAACAAAAACCAACAACAACAAAGAAGGGCAAAAGGAGAAGCCUGGCCUCCUGGAAAACCACCCUGGAAGGUACUCAAAUCUAAUUCUGAACAACACUGUUCUUUGUCAAUAGUCAUUUCCCCCAUCAUCUGUGCUUCUGUGGAGUCUGUAUUUUACAAGGGAUCAAGUCCCGGUAAUAAUUCAAACUGUUGAGAACCAGGAAGCGGCUCUGAGGCAAGGAACCAGCCAAAGUUCUGAACUAAACAGAGCCUGGAGUUCUGAGACUAAUUAAUAAGCCUGCCACCCUCCCUUCUGGUGUUCAGAAAGCCAGGCGGACCCUAACUACUACAGCGCCCAUGGAAAAGAACCACGGAGCUCUCAAAACAUCAUGUAUUCAUCGUGCAUGCAUUCAAGAACCCUAUCUCUUUCUACAAAGAAUAAAUUCACCGUAAGUUCGAGGAGGAGGGUUCAAUUUUGGGUUCAGCAUUGUUUACGUGGCCCGCACGCUGGGGUAAGCGCUGCGGGACAGAGACAGGGGCAGUCUCUGUGUUCCAUCAGGACCAAUUAAGAUCCCCACCCCACCCCCUGUUCUCUGGACCAUAGACAAUGAGAGGUAGGACCCGGGGACAUAGGAGGGAUGAAGUUGGGGACAGGAGGGGUUUGUUCGAACCUUGGCACAUCCCCUCAUCCAUAGACAGAAGCCCUCGGACAAGACCCGGUUCUCUGCGGACAAGAUCCGGUUCUCUGCGGUCAAGACCCGGUUCUCUGCUGACAAGACCCGGUUCUCUGCUGACAAGACCCGGUUCUCUGCGUAGUUCGGCGACGACGUAACAGAGCUAGCGGGCCUGGAUGCCCACAGUGGCCUCGGAAGCGAGAGUCCCGGUCCCAGGUCUCUUACCGGCGGCGGGUACAGGGUUUUAAUGAAGGGAAAAAUACAGUUUGUACAUGAAAUCGACUUUUUCAAUAUUCUACAUAAGCUGGUAAGGAGUGAUGGCCAAGUUCCAGAAGGCUUGCGCAAUGGGACAGUGUUUAAGUAUCUAAAAGCACCAGAGGUCUACUAAAGUCAUUUACACAAACAGAAGCCAUCAUGCCUCAGUAAGUCACUGUUUGGAUGAUAUUGAAAACUAAGAAGCUCUUUGCUAGAGAACAUACACAGGUAAUCUUUGAGGACACAGAUCAAGUUACUUUGGUCAUGUUCCUAGAAGGGAGAAGGGUGGAUGGGGGAAGGGACACUCCUUACUUAUUUGGUACUUCUUUUCUCACUAUGGAGCCCCAACUGGCCUGGAACUCACUAAGUAGAUCAGGCUGGCCUUGACCCACAAAGGCCCCUGCCUCUGCCUCCCAAUGGCUGGGAUUAUUGGCAUGCUGGGAUUAUUGGCAUGCUGGGAUUAUUGGCAUGCUGGGAUUAUUGGCAUGCUGGGAUUAUUGGCAUGCUGGGAUUAUUGGCAUGCUGGGAUUAUAGGCAUGCUGGGAUUAAAGGCAUGCUGGGAUUAUAGGCAUGCUGGGAUUAUAGGCACGCUGGGAUUAUAGGCACACUGGGAUUAUAGGCACACUGGGAUUAUAGGCAUGCUGGUUUCCUUUUCCCUUAAAACAUGCCUCAUGUAGCCAAGGCUGGCCUUUGAUCCUCCUCUCUGUCUCCCACAUAUUCAAAUAGUUUAGUUAUUUAGCACUCUGAAAGCUAUGGUAAGACAACAUUUCUAUGUUAUGUAUCACAUCUGAUACAGCUGAGAACUAUUAAUCACUGAAUUAAGGCUGAAGAUGGCAAAAGUUUAUUCUACAAGAAUGAAGCACCGUGUCUUUCUCUCUCAUCCAGACUGACAGCAUUCUUCCAACCGUUCUACGUUCCCAGCAAAUCCUACAUGAAACCUUCACUCAAUUACUGUCUAAAUGUAUUUUUUUCUGCAUAAUCCCCCGCUUUGGUCAAUAUCUAGGACAAACAUAGCUUCAAAAUACACUGAACUUUUGCUAUUUAAGAGUAUAAAGAACAUAAUAUUAUCUAAUGAGGUUAAUGUGCAAGCCGUUUGAAGCCCCAGAGUCAGGAGAGACGGCUCCCGCCUGGCUCAGUGGGUUAAGGUGCCUGACGCAAAGCCUGAUGACCUGAGCUCCAACUGUAGCAUGUACACAGUACAAAGAGCUGACUCUACCUCCCCACAUCACUGUGUGACCUCCACACAAGUACAGCAGCAUAGGCGUUCCCCCUCCACUAAAUAAAUAAUGUAAAAAAGAAAGGACAGCUAGGCAUGGCGGUACAUGCCUUUACUCCUAGCACACAGAAGAAAAAGGAAGUAGUAUCUCUGGGUUCAAGGCCUGCCUGGUCUACAUGGCAAUUUCUAGGCUAUCCGGGGCAGCAUGAGGCCUUGUUUCAAGAAAAAAAAAAAGUCAGAGUCCAGGUGGGAAGGACCAUAAUAAGGCCCAUCUGUAAGAGGGACAGGAGACACUGGACACUUCUAAUGAUGUGUGAGCAUACAGGCAUAAACACAGACGGACACAUAAAGUAUCUAAAAAAAGGUCAAUAAUCAUGAUGAUUAAGAAAAAUAUGAAUAUUUAGAAGAAAACUGCAUUUUCAGAAGCCAUUCAUUUAUGUUAGAGAAUAUAUUAAAUAUUUAAAUAGAUGGUACUUUAAGGACUUACUUGAAACUUAGCCUUAAUUUCUUUUCUUUUGGUAUUCUCCAAAAGCUUAAACUUUGGACUAUGGAACACUGUAGCAUCUGAGGCUUCUUUUAAAACGGUAUUUUAAGGAGAUGAAAGUUAUAAAAGAAAUGCUUGGUCUUUUCCAUGCUGUUCAUCCUCAACCAAAACAGAAAUCUUAAACAUUUAACCCUUAAAACAUGAAGGUCUCCAGUAUUUCAGAUGUCAGUGUGUGAGAACAAGGAAGGAGCCAGAAUUUGACUUCCUGUGCGAUAGAAGAGCUGACUAACUUUUCCUCCAAACCAGCAAAAUAAACCAUGUGAACUCUGGUUCAGAAUGACUGAAGGAUGUACUGAAUGUGCAUUAGUAACUUAGGCAGAUGAAGAUGAUUCGGCCACCCAAUUCUACAUUGUUUUUCUGACUUUCUUUUUUUUUUUUUUUUGGCUCUUUUUUUCGGAGCUGGGGACCGAACCCAGGGCCUUACGCUUCCUAGGCAAGCGCUCUACCACUGAGCUAAAUCCCCAGCCCCGA
Molecule: non-coding RNA, 3797 nt
Organism: Rattus norvegicus (Norway rat)
Lineage: Eukaryota; Metazoa; Chordata; Mammalia; Rodentia; Muridae
Source: RefSeq, a predicted model, not a curated record